RNAcentral lists this transfer RNA (76 nucleotides) under Gossypium turneri. RNAcentral's name for it is "tRNA-Val". It matches the Rfam family "tRNA". From Rfam's summary of the family: Transfer RNA (tRNA) molecules are approximately 80 nucleotides in length. Their secondary structure includes four short double-helical elements and three loops (D, anti-codon, and T loops). Further hydrogen bonds mediate the characteristic L-shaped molecular structure. tRNAs have two regions of fundamental functional importance: the anti-codon, which is responsible for specific mRNA codon recognition, and the 3' end, to which the tRNAs corresponding amino acid is attached (by aminoacyl-tRNA synthetases). tRNAs cope with the degeneracy of the genetic code in two manners: having more than one tRNA (with a specific anti-codon) for a particular amino acid; and 'wobble' base-pairing, i.e. permitting non-standard base-pairing at the 3rd anti-codon position. Lineage: Eukaryota; Viridiplantae; Streptophyta; Magnoliopsida; Malvales; Malvaceae. The record is from RNAcentral.
AGGGAUAUAGCUCAAUUGGUAGAGCACCUUGUUUACACUACCGAGAAGGUCUACGGUUCGAGUCCGUAUAGCCCUA